RNAcentral lists this ribosomal RNA (989 nucleotides) under uncultured bacterium. RNAcentral describes it as "partial 16S ribosomal RNA". It matches the Rfam family "Archaeal small subunit ribosomal RNA", at positions 1 to 1326 of the family's 1478-position model. The record is from RNAcentral.
CUCCGGUGAUCCCGCCCUUACCCGACUGCUAUCAGAGUGGGACUGGCCAUGCGAGUCAACAUAGCAAUAUGUGGCAUACGGCUCAGUAACGGGAGUCAACAUGCUUAGGGGACGUGGAUAACCUCGGGAAACUGAGGAUAAACCGCGAUAGGUCAUCACUUCUGGAAUGGGUAAUGACUUAAAUCUAUAUGGCCUUUGGAUUGGACUGCGGCCGAUCAGGCUGUUGGUGAGGUAAUGGCCCACCAAACCUGUAACCGGUACGGGCUCUGAGAGGAGGAGCCCGGAGAUGGGCACGGACAAGGUUCCAGGCCCUAUGGGGCGCAGCAGGCGCGAAGGCUCUGCAAUAGGCGAAAGCUUGACAGGGUUACUCUGAGUGAUUUCCGUUAAGGAGAUCUUUUGGCACCUCUUAUAAUGGUUUCAGAAUAAGGGGUGGGCAAGUCUGGUGUCAGCCGCCGCGGUAAUACCAGCACCCCGAGUGGUCGGGACGUUUAUUGGGCCUAAAGCAUCCGUAGCCGGUUCUACAAGUCUUCCGUUAAAUCCACCUGCUUAACAGAUGGGCUGCGGAAGAUACUAUAGAGCUUAGGCGGGAGAGGCAAGCGGUACUCGAUGGGUAGGGGUAAAAUCCGUUGAUCCAUUGAAGACCACCAGUGGCGAAGGCGGCUUGCCAGAACGCGCUCGACGGGGAGGGAUGAAAGCUGGGGGAGCAAACCGGAUUAGAUACCCGGGUAGUCCCAGCUGUAAACGAUGCAGACUCGGUGAUGAGUUGGCUUAUUGCUAACUCAGUGCCGCAGGGAAGGGGUUAAGUUUGCCGCCUGGGGAGUACGGUCGCAAGGGGAAACUUAAAGGAAUUGGCGGGGGAGCAAGUCGCAAAGUCGCGAGGCUAAGCUAAUCUCUUAAAGCUUCUCUCAGUUCGGAUUGUAGGCUGCAACUCGCCUACAUGAAGGGCGGAAUCGCUAGUAAUCGCGGAUCAGCACGCCGCGGUGAAUACG